Molecule: ribosomal RNA, 484 nt
Filed under: uncultured bacterium
Lineage: Bacteria
Description: partial 16S ribosomal RNA
Rfam family: Bacterial small subunit ribosomal RNA
Source: RNAcentral
GACGAACGCUGGCGGCGUGCUUAACACAUGCAAGUCGAACGAUGAAGCUAGAGCUUGCUCUGGUGGAUUAGUGGCGAACGGGUGAGUAACACGUGAGUAACCCGCCCCGAACUCUGGGAUAACUGCUGGAAACGGUAGCUAAUACCGGAUAUGACCAAUGAAGGCAUCUUCUGUUGGUGGAAAGAAUUUCGGUUCGGGGUGGACUCGCGGCCUAUCAGCUUGUUGGAGAGGUAACGGCUCACCAAGGCGACGGCGGGUAGCCGGCCUGAGAGGGUGAUCGGCCACACUGGGACUGAGACACGGCCCAGACUCCUACGGGAGGCAGCAGUGGGGAAUAUUGCACAAUGGGCGCAAGCCUGAUGCAGCAACGCCGCGUGAGGGACGACGGCCUUCGGGUUGUAAACCUCUUUUAGUAGGGAAGAAGCGAAAGUGACGGUACCUGCAGAAAAAGCACCGGCUAACUACGUGCCAGCCGCCGCGGUAA